CCUUCCUUGUGUGCUCUGUCCAUGGGGUGGGACUUAUCUGUAACCAUCUAAAGGUAGUUGGUGCUUAAAGUGAGUUGAAACUGAUGAAAACUUUUCCAGGUUGAGCUCUGCAUUUUUACCAUUGUGAUAGACCUGGCCCUGACACGGAACUCUCACUGCCCCAAUGCUCCCCUGUCAAGAGCUUGGAGGCUCCCAGAGAAGAAUGCUUUCAUUGUUCAUCCAGGCUGGUGUGCGCAAAAGGCCCUUGUAAAAACUGUCUCUUCUCCAUUUCAAUCUCACCAGUCAAAAAAUAUCUUAGUUGUGUGGAUAUAUGAAGCAACAUGUAAUAAGACAUGUAUAUAGUCUGCGAUGAUGAAAUAAAGAUACUACUUCUGUCUCCUUAAACAUCCAAAAAACAUUUUCAUUAACAUAUAAUUAGACAUAUUUGUAGACUAUGUUUCAAUAUUUUAAUACAUGAAUACAGUAUGUACUCAUUAAAUUAGAAUAAUUAACAUUUUUAUCUUAUUACUUCAGUAUUUGGAGCACUGAAGCAGCUCUCUUAAUUUUUCCUAAAAUAUGUUAGUGUGAACUGUAAACACAAGAUGUUCCGUAGAAUACUAGAACGUUUCAGUUUUCUCUAGUGAGGUUUUGGUUCCAACCUAUCCAACCUCCCUCUCUCUCAACCUUUCCCAGCCUCUGGUAGUCACUAUUAUGUGCUCUUACAGAUUUUAAAACUACCCACAACAUCAGAGAGACUAUGUAACAUCUGUCUUUCUGUAUUUGACAUGUCACUUAACAACACCCCCUAUUGGUUCUACUGUAGGUUACAGAGUUUUAUGUUGGAGGCUGAAUAUUAGUCAUGCGUUCUUCACACUUUCCUUUGUACAACUGUGGGUUGCUGUGAGUCAAGAUUGAAUUCAAUAACUCCCAUGGCUGCUCAGUCUUUCACAUCCCAGCUCAGGUGUGGCUGAUGCGGUGCUUAGAAGCAACACCUGGAACCCAGGGGUCAGCAACUUUCACCUCACAGUGCCAGUUUCGGUGAACCAGAAGCAGUUGCCCGGGUGGCUUGUUGAGAGGGACUGUGGGGUGGGUAGAAAUGUGGAGUGCCUAACCCGGCUUGCUGUGACACUGUAAGGAGCCAUGUCAAUGAGGCAGGUGGCAGUGUGGUGGCCACACUGUUUCCAUCUUUCAGAACACUGUCCCUGUUAAACUUUGUCCCUCUUUACAUCAGAUGGAUAUUUCUUUUUCAAACUAGAUUUUCAGAUAAUGCAAACUAAUUGUGUUUGUACAUUUAGAGUAUUAAAGAACAUUAAAAAAAGCUUUAGAUAGAUUGGAGAGAUUAACUUCCCUGUGAAACCUCUACUUGCUCACUGAGGCUCCAAGCUCAUUGGCUCUGGUUUAGCAAGACGUGUUGCCAGGCAGUGACUAGGUAGGACCCAUCCAUUCAGUCAGAUUGAAAAACUUAGUGUGUUUCUUGCCCAAGGCCUGAGUUUCAAAUUCUGUAUUUCCUCUACAAUGAAGAUAAAAAUGGAAUUAAUAUCUUACAUCAUUAAUUCAGCAUCAAUCACUGAGUGUGUAUGUAUUAACCAUUUACAAUGUGUUAGGAGGGUUGCUAAGCAACACAGAGAUAACAUUGAACAAAGAGAUAAAAACAAUCACCAUGGAACUGACAUCCUGGCAGAGAGCAGUAUUAACCAUGAUUGUUCUGACAAACAUUUGCUGCUCUAUAUAGUGUAGGAGAUGCUCCAGUGGGAGCAACAGAAGCAAAGGAGGUCAUGACAGAAGGGAUUGCCCAUUUACUUUCACAGCAACACAAAAGUACACACAUGCAAAGGCAGGAGAACAAGGGUAGAAUGUGAGGGCAGGAGCCUGAAAUGCUAUUUUCUCCAUUGCCUCCUGACCCAAUAUAAAGAAGAUACUCUGCAGAGAUCUUGGAAUUUAUCUUAAUCCAUACUUCUGAUAGGUUUGAAAAGAUGCUUUUAAAGCCUCUCUACAUUAGCAUAAAAGCCCCAGAAAGCUCUGAGCAUGUAAUCAUGAGGUUUGCAGUUCUCUGUGUCUUCAUACCAAGCAAAUCACAGGUGGAAUAGGCAGGAACCCUCCCUGCCCCUGUAGGAGCAUCACAGUUACCCCUAAAUGCCUAGGAAUGACUGUGCAGUCUCUCAAAGUCUCCCUGGAGGCUCCAGGAAGGUUGUGACUUGAUCUGAAUGAGAUCUCACGCUCCCCAAGGAUUUCAUGCUUUCCUGUAUGUAUUUCAAACUUAGAAACAAUCAAGAACUAUAAUAUAAGGCAUUUCCUCUUGAAGCCCUUGAGGCCAACCAGAAUGUUCUGGAAAGGUCCCUCUGGAGUCUUUGGAAUGAUGAUCAUGCUGGCCAAGGAUGAGAAUUUGUCAGAUGGUUGUCAUAGUG
RNAcentral lists this long non-coding RNA (2384 nucleotides) under Mus musculus (house mouse). Its description in RNAcentral is "long non-coding RNA chr15:11131714-11134098". The record is from RNAcentral. Lineage: Eukaryota; Metazoa; Chordata; Mammalia; Rodentia; Muridae.